GCGGGAGUACCCAAGCCAGGUCUAAGGGGCGAGGUUCAGGACCUCGUGGCGUAGGCCUUCGUGGGUUCGAAUCCCACCUCCCGCA
RNAcentral lists this transfer RNA (85 nucleotides) under Candidatus Bathyarchaeota archaeon. Its description in RNAcentral is "tRNA-Leu". It matches the Rfam family "tRNA". From Rfam's summary of the family: Transfer RNA (tRNA) molecules are approximately 80 nucleotides in length. Their secondary structure includes four short double-helical elements and three loops (D, anti-codon, and T loops). Lineage: Archaea; Thermoproteati; Candidatus Bathyarchaeota. The record is from RNAcentral.